This 158-nucleotide ribosomal RNA is filed under the name Richardina parvioculata. RNAcentral describes it as "partial 16S rRNA". The record is from RNAcentral. Lineage: Eukaryota; Metazoa; Arthropoda; Malacostraca; Decapoda; Stenopodidae.
ACUUUAUAUAAAUUAUAUUAUAUUUUAUAAUUAUAAGUUUAAUAAGUUAGAGUAUAUUAAUAUUUUAUUGGGGCGAUAAAAAUAUAAUUAAACUGUUUUGGAAUAAUCAAAUAUUGUUGAAUUAAAUGAUCCUUAUUUUAAGAUUAGAAGGAUAAGUU